Molecule: ribosomal RNA, 774 nt
Filed under: Staphylinidae sp. NZAC 03011869
Lineage: Eukaryota; Metazoa; Arthropoda; Insecta; Coleoptera; Staphylinidae
Description: eukaryotic LSU rRNA
Rfam family: Eukaryotic large subunit ribosomal RNA
Source: RNAcentral
UACGUGAAACCGUUUAAGGGUAAACCUGAGAAACCCGAAAGUUCGAACGAGGAGAUUCAGUGUGUCUCGUCGGGUGCGAGCAGUGUUUGGUAGACAUUUGUCGUUCGCGGCAUUUGCUCCUUGUGCUGCCGUUGCUUGGCGAACGCAUGCACUUCUCCUCCAGUAGGACGUCGCGACCCGUUGGGUGUCGGUCUGAGGCCCGCAGUGGAGCCCGUUUGUCGGUUUCGGCCGUGCAUAUCGGACCUGUGGUGUCCCGUCCGGCUGCUCGACGGUAGACUAGAGGCGCAGAGCCGCGACUAGCUCGCGUUCGGCCCGAUGCAAGCGCGGCCGGUUACUCGAUCGUCGGACUUGUGCCGAUUUCGGGGCCGGUCGACUGUUGGUGUCGGUGUUCCCGAACAGACUCUGUACACGCCUGUCAGCGGCGCUAUAGCUUUGGGUACUUUCAGGGCCCGUCUUGAAACACGGACCAAGGAGUCUAGCAUGUGCGCGAGUCAUUGGGACUAUCGAAUCCUAAAGGCGAAAUGAAAGUAAAGGCUGAGCCUGCUCUGUCGAGGGAAGAUGGGCGACUUAAUCGUUGCCUCGCACUCCCGGGGCGUCUCAUUCUCAUUGCGAGUAGAGGCGCACCUAGAGCGUACAUGCUGGGACCCGAAAGAUGGUGAACUAUGCCUGGUCAGGACGAAGUCAGGGGAAACCCUGAUGGAGGUCCGUAGCGAUUCUGACGUGCAAAUCGAUCGUCGGAACUGGGUAUAGCUGCGAAAGACUAAUCGAACCACU